This is a long non-coding RNA of Pogoniulus pusillus (Red-fronted tinkerbird), 1919 nucleotides long. RefSeq lists it as uncharacterized. Lineage: Eukaryota; Metazoa; Chordata; Aves; Piciformes; Lybiidae. The record is from RefSeq and is a predicted model, not a curated record. The transcript is spliced from 5 exons.
UUUUUGGUACAUAUUGCAGGAGCCUGGUAGCUGUUCCCCGUCCCACAAACGAUUUUCGCGGCAUGCGUCGCCCACCGUGGGAGCCCUCGAUCCUAGCCUCCCUCACGGCUCCCUUCACCUGUGCUUUGUCCGCAAUUUGCCCAUUCUCCCUCGCCCCCGCGCAGCCCCGCAGCCGCUCGGCUCGUUAGGCUGCAAAUAAAGGGGAGGAAAAGCCUCAAGUCGACCCCAUCCCGCCCACAAAUACGCCUUUUGUGCAAGUUCCCAAGGAAAAACGCGCGCGGGGGAGUCGGGGGAUGUCGCACACGCACAGCUUUGCCCAGAGAAAGGCUCAACACUCCAAAGCAAAAGGAAGAUAAAGAGGGGAACUUCGCACAUUAAAAAAAAAAAAAGAAAAGAAAAGAAAAGAAACUUAAAAAUAGGCAGAGGCGGGUGAAGGAGCCUGCGGAGAGGGAGCGGCGCGGUCCUCGAUGUGGCUGGUCUUUCGGGGUAUGCACCUGCACAUAAGAGAGGCAGCGGAGAAGCUGGAAGAGGCGCAAGCGUAUGUAAGGUGACGAUUCGAUGUUAGAGCUAGGAAGGAAGCGGUGAAGGACAUAUUUCUCAGACCACUGGGAAAUCCAGCCAGGACGAAUGGGUUCGGAACUGAUUGUGCGUCCCAGCCCCGUCUCGGCACCCCUCACCUGCUGGGUAUUCUUCUCCCCGAAAAGGGAGACGCUGUCGCCAGCCGCACACUGGGGUCGCCCCUACACAGAACGACUCUAACACGAAGAACUGUCGCUCAGGCAGAAAAACUAUGGGAAAAUGAGUGUUUGAAGACUGCAGAUUUUUUUCCAGGCGGGGACAGACGGAUGUGCCCAGGCGGUUGCAUGUAGGGGCUGAACCCGGCGGAGGCGCAGGUCUGCCCGCUGAGGCUUCCCUUGCUGCUGACCCUCAGCCGGCCGGGCUGUCCCGGGGCCAGAGCCAACCCCACAAGUGCCAUCAGAGGCAUUUGGGGUUGGAGCGGCACGGAGGUGUGUGAUUUUUCCUUCAUGCCGGCUAGAAGAGAAAGGUGUUUUCCUCUGCUGUUGAGUUUUCGCACUAAAGAUGUCAUUUGGAAGUCUGGGAGGAAGGGGGGACGGUGCUUCACUCACUUUCACGAUUAUCGGAACCCUUUCAAAACUCACACAACAAAUACAGCCACCGCAUCUAAUGCAUCAUUUACCAGAGCAGAUCUCCGCGUUUGAUCGGCAGAUAGGCAAAAUCUAUGUAUUCCUUGCUGUACUUAGCAUGCAUGGAUGUGGGGCUGUAUGGAUGCAGGGUGCCCCCAGGCCGGGUCUGGGACACCCCCGAGGCUCUUAGCAUGUCUGUGCUGAGGUCUCUGUGGAGUGAGGGAGAGUAUCCUCUGAGUGCCCCAAACCAGGGGCAGCGAAGUGGGGACAGAAAACCUUGCAAGGUGCUGCUACAUGAUGCACUUUGAAAAUUUUAUUUCCUCCACUGGUGGACUUUCAGGGAAAGGGAAAGAGGUUUUAUCAUCACCCUGGGCAUCCCAGGCACCUGCUUGUACUACACUCAAUCCUGCACCCACAACCAGAACCAGUUGCUGUUUUCAGGGGUGCUCAGAACCUGCUACCUCUGAAAACCACUUUUAGGUUCAGCAGUGCCCUAGUUCUGCCCCAUCCUUUAGCAGUCUCAGAGCCAAGGGGGACCCCAGCCCAUUUCCUCCCAAAUCCUGACAGCCCUGUUAUGGAGCCCAGCCAGUCCCCUGGGUCCUGGUUUCCAGCUGUCACAGUCAGUGCCAGGUGAUCCUCCCACAUUCCAGCCAUGGGCAGAACAGGGCACAUGGCGCAACCCAAAUUUGGGGAGCAGCUGGUGAACCUGGGGGAGGAAAAAAAAAUAAACUCCAAAGAAAAGGAGUCUUUUAUUUUUCCUGGAGUUAGUGUGAC